This is a long non-coding RNA of Juglans microcarpa x Juglans regia, 356 nucleotides long. RefSeq lists it as uncharacterized. The transcript has 4 exons. NCBI's taxonomy places the organism in Eukaryota, Viridiplantae, Streptophyta, Magnoliopsida, Fagales, Juglandaceae. The record is from RefSeq and is a predicted model, not a curated record.
ACUGCUUCCCUGCUCAUUCAAUUGGUUGUUAGCAAGACUUCGAGUCAGAGAGAAAAUGGAAAUUGGCUCAAGCAAAGAGGGUUGCUUUAAGAGCAAGCAGGGGCACCAUAGACUAGGCUACUAGGGGAGAAAGGAAAAUGAAGGAAGAGGAGCAGCGAUUAAGAAAAGUUGCACUCAAUAUCUCAAAGGGCGUGAAGAAAUUCUGGAUGAAAAUAGAAAAACUGUCCACUUUGUUCAAAUAGUUAUCUAAUUUCUUCAAAUAACUCAAGGCACUUGAUAAGCAACUUGAGUUUCUUUUGGGCCAAACCAAGAGGUACUCAACAAUGUUAGCAGAAAGUCUUGUUGAUACACAUAAA